This 229-nucleotide ribosomal RNA is filed under the name uncultured fungus. RNAcentral describes it as "partial 18S ribosomal RNA". It matches the Rfam family "Eukaryotic small subunit ribosomal RNA", at positions 40 to 274 of the family's 1831-position model. The record is from RNAcentral. Lineage: Eukaryota; Fungi.
AAGAUUAAGCCAUGCAUGUCUAAGUAUAAGCAAUUAUACAGUGAAACUGCGAAUGGCUCAUUAAAUCAGUUAUCGUUUAUUUGAUAGUACCUUACUACUUGGAUAACCGUGGUAAUUCUAGAGCUAAUACAUGCUUAAAAUCCCGACUGUUUGGAAGGGAUGUAUUUAUUAGAUAAAAAUCAAUGCCUUCGGGCUCUUUGAUGAUUCAUAAUAACUUUUCGAAUCGCAU